Molecule: long non-coding RNA, 676 nt
Organism: Clupea harengus (Atlantic herring)
Lineage: Eukaryota; Metazoa; Chordata; Actinopteri; Clupeiformes; Clupeidae
Source: RefSeq, a predicted model, not a curated record
CUACACACACACACACACACUCAACCUACGGUAUUUCACAGACAUGCAACUUUCAAAUCCUAAUGAUCAUCUAAUCUCAGUUGUCUGCUUGUGAGAAGGGUGACUCAUUCCUUCAGAGAGGAAGAGGGAAGGAGUACCUACCUGCUGCCAGCUUCUGUGAUUGAUUAGUUACUGCCCUGACUAGGGAUGGGACAAGAACCGGUUCUCGAUUCCCAUCCCUAGUGGCAGCAAAUUGCAGAGGAGUUAUAUCAGAAGUCUCAGUUUCCCCAUUGCCUGGGUGCCAUUGAUGGGAAACACAUCAUCAUACAGCUACCAGCACACAGCAGAAGCAACUUCUGCAACUACAAAUGACGCUCCUCCUUGCAGAUGAUAGCUGUUGUUGAUGCGACAUACCAAUUCAGGUUUUGGUUUCAGGAGAUUUCAAAUUAAGGUCCAUGAGGUAGUCACCUGGAAUGGUUUCCCAACAGUCUUGAAGGAGUUCCCAGAGGUGUUGAGGACUUGUCUGCUUUUCCUUCACUCUGCAGUUCAACACAUCCCAAAUCAUUUCGUGUGGGUUAAGGUUGGGUGAUGGUGCAGGCCAGGUCUCGCCUUCUGUGCGUCUCACAAAGACAUGGCAGUUGGAACCAAAAAUCUCAGAUUUGGACUCAUCAGACCAAAGUAAAGAUUUCCACUGGUC